RNAcentral lists this ribosomal RNA (815 nucleotides) under Ramaria sp. RNAcentral's name for it is "eukaryotic LSU rRNA". The stretch from base 607 to 815 matches the Rfam family "Eukaryotic large subunit ribosomal RNA", at positions 1 to 207 of the family's 3401-position model. Lineage: Eukaryota; Fungi; Basidiomycota; Agaricomycetes; Gomphales; Gomphaceae. The record is from RNAcentral.
GGUGAACCUGCGGAAGGAUCAUUAACGUAUGUUUGAAGGGGUUUGAUGCUGGUCUUCCCACAAAGGGGAGACAUUGUGCGCACCCCAUCACCUUCUAAUCCCACACACCUUUGUGCACCAUGGUGGUGGCAUUUCCCACCCCAUUCCCCACACACCUAUCCCUGUCACAAUGCAUGUCUUGAUGGCUCUACGGAGUUAUAAACACAAAUACAACUUUCAACAACGGAUCUCUUGGCUUUCGCAUCGAUGAAGAACGCCGCGAAAGCGCGAAACGUAAUGUGAAUUGCAGAAUUCAGUGAAUCAUCGAAUCUUUGAACGCAUCUUGCGCUCCUUGGUAUUCCGAGGAGCAUGCCUGUUUGAGUGUCGUGAAACUCUAUCGACCCCCACUUUCCUCUGUGAUGGUGGGGUCGUCGGACUUGGACGUCUGCCGGCUUCUCUAGUCGACUCGUCUCGAAAUGCAUCAGCUGUGGUCUGUCGUACGGUCGGUCUCCCCUGAUCAACGGACGGUGUGAUAAGAAACACUUGUGGCGCCGUCUCAUCUCGAGAGCCUCCGUUUAAAAGACAAACCUCGCUUCCAAUCGUCCUCGGACAAACUUUCAUGUCAUCUGACCUCAAAUCAGGUAGGACUACCCGCUGAACUUAAGCAUAUCAAUAAGCGGAGGAAAAGAAACUAACCAGGAUUCCCCUAGUAACGGCGAGUGAAGCGGGAAGAGCUCAAAUUUGUAAUCUGGCGGUCUCAGGCCGUCCGAGUUGUAGUCUAGAGAAGCGUCUUCCGUGCCGGCCCGUGUACAAGUCCCUUGGAACAGGGCGUCAUA